UAAUACGUAGGGGGCAAGCGUUGUCCGGAUUUAUUGGGCGUAAAGAGCGUGUAGGCGGCCGCACAGGUCCGUUGUGAAAACUGGAGGCUUAACCUUCAGACGUCGAUGGAAACCGUGCGGCUAGAGUCCGGAAGAGGAGAAUGGAAUUCCUGGUGUAGCGGUGAAAUGCGCAGAUAUCAGGAAGAACACCCGUGGCUAAGGCGGUUCUCUAGUACGGUACUGACGCUGAGACGCGAAAGCGUGGGGAGCGAACAGGAUUAGAUACCCUGGUAGUCCACGCUGUAAACGUUGGGCGCUAGGUGUGGGGGGCCUCUCCGGUUCUCUGUGCCGCAGCUAACGCAUUAAGCGCCCCGCCUGGGGAGUACGGCCGCAAGGCUA
RNAcentral lists this ribosomal RNA (378 nucleotides) under uncultured bacterium. Its description in RNAcentral is "bacterial SSU rRNA". It matches the Rfam family "Bacterial small subunit ribosomal RNA", at positions 521 to 896 of the family's 1533-position model. The record is from RNAcentral.